Molecule: ribosomal RNA, 446 nt
Filed under: uncultured bacterium
Lineage: Bacteria
Description: partial 16S ribosomal RNA
Rfam family: Bacterial small subunit ribosomal RNA
Source: RNAcentral
CCUACGGGUGGCAGCAGUCGAGAAUCAUUCACAAUGGGGGAAACCCUGAUGGUGCGACGCCGCGUGGGGGAAUGAAGGUCUUCGGAUUGUAAACCCCUGUCAUGUGGGAGCAAAUUAAAAAGAUAGUACCACAAGAGGAAGAGACGGCUAACUCUGUGCCAGCAGCCGCGGUAAUACAGAGGUCUCAAGCGUUGUUCGGAAUCACUGGGCGUAAGGCGUUCGUAGGCUGUUUCGUAAGUCGUGUGUGAAAGGCGCGGGCUCAACCCGCGGACGGCACAUGAUACUGCGAGACUAGAGUAAUGGAGGGGGAACCGGAAUUCUCGGUGUAGCAGUGAAAUGCGUAGAUAUCGAGAGGAACACUCGUGGCGAAGGCGGGUUCCUGGACAUUAACUGACGCUGAGGCACGAAGGCCAGGGGAGCGAAAGGGAUUAGAUUCCCGUGUAGUC